UACGAAGGGUGCAAGCGUUACUCGGAAUUACUGGGCGUAAAGCGUGCGUAGGUGGUUUGUUAAGUCUGUUGUGAAAGCCCCGGGCUCAACCUGGGAAUGGCAAUGGAUACUGGCAAGCUAGAGUGCGGUAGAGGGUAGUGGAAUUCCCGGUGUAGCGGUGAAAUGCGUAGAUAUCUGGAGGAACACCGGUGGCGAAGGCGGCAUCCUGGACCAACACUGACGCUGAGGAGCGAAAGCCAGGGGAGCAAACGGG
This 253-nucleotide ribosomal RNA is filed under the name uncultured bacterium. RNAcentral describes it as "partial 16S ribosomal RNA". It matches the Rfam family "Bacterial small subunit ribosomal RNA", at positions 524 to 776 of the family's 1533-position model. The record is from RNAcentral.